This 115-nucleotide ribosomal RNA is filed under the name Periophthalmus magnuspinnatus. The record is from RNAcentral. Lineage: Eukaryota; Metazoa; Chordata; Actinopteri; Gobiiformes; Gobiidae.
UGUUGUGGCCAUACCAUCUUGUCAAUGCCCAGUCUUGUUUGAUCUCGGUCAAGCAGUAUUUGGCCUGGAUAGUACUGGGAUGGGAGACUGCUGGAAAUAUCAGGUCCCACAGUGG